Long non-coding RNA from Panicum hallii, 1214 nucleotides. RefSeq lists it as uncharacterized. NCBI's taxonomy places the organism in Eukaryota, Viridiplantae, Streptophyta, Magnoliopsida, Poales, Poaceae. The transcript is spliced from 3 exons. The record is from RefSeq and is a predicted model, not a curated record.
UCGGCUGGACGGUUUUGGCAGCCAGAAGGAUCCAUGCUGCAGAUGAGAUCUGGCUGCAGAUACCCGGAUCACAGGGCAUCAGUAUGCAAGAGGAGUUGAGAUCGAUUUUCAGCCAGUGCAAAGCCCACAUGGAUCCGCAGCGUCUCUGCCGUGUAUCAUGAACACAAGCCUGUCCAUUUGUACACACUGGUCUCUGGAUCCCAGCACUGUCUCAUGAAUCAUGAUCCCUCCAAUAUGCAGUUGGGCUGGCACAAUGCAACAAAAUUUCCUUCACCGCAGCUAAGAUAAGCACAGUUAUAAGAUUUUUUUUUUUGAAAAGGAAAGCACAGUUAUAAGAUUAAGGGGGCCAAAGUGGGGGAGCACUUUCAGAAAUUUUAUUGUUAUGGAUACAGGCAGGAAACCUUGCUGUGCCAGAGGCAGAGGGACAGGCGAAGGUGUGCCAGCCCACCUGCCAGAAACUCAGGCACUGCUGUCCAAUGCAAGAACCUUCCAAGCUUCCAACUAGACAAAAGUUUCCAGCUCAAAUUUGUAGUUUACUCCAGUUGCCAACAUCACCAGAAGGCACCAAACCAAUCCACACACUUGCCAGCUUUUGUAUUGUUGCCCAUAGCUUUCCUUGAUUACUACAGCGAAACUAACAUCAGAAACAAGGACUAACCUUGGGGUUCGGCAAGUAGGAUAUUUGCAAAUGGAAAGGUUAUGUCUGUUCACUUCCCCUUGCUUUUGACUUCACCUAUGAGAAACCUGUCCUGAUAAACCUAGGGAUAGUGGUAAAAUAAAGAACUGGGACCUUGAUCCAGACAACGCCAUCCUGUCAAUGAACCUUUAGACAAUAAAGUAAGAUCAAUGAGGCAAUAAAGUAAAAGAGGAAAGGAACCUAGGUUUUAUCUAGACUAUGCUUAUGUAUGUGUCAGGUUUAUAAUAAACUACCCAACCUCUGACAAGUCGCCAAAGAUGGAGAAGAAAACAAUGUUUGUUGAGAGUGAUCUGGAUGCUGAUCUGGUUCUUCCCUUAUCCUAAGAAACUUGCUGAUUUGAUGCAAGAGGAAUAGAGGAUGCUUUCCCAAAGCUACAAGUUACAGGACCACUCCUACAGAAAGGAGCCAAGCAUGGUGCACCAUCCUUGUCUACACCGCAAACUGCCAGUUAAUCAGCUUGUGGUUCCUGAACUGAGUGUAAUCUUCUCCAGAAAAAAAAAUUGUUUGCAUUUGCAGA